UCGAACGGGGAUGCUGACGGAAGGGGUGCUUGCACUCUGGAAGUAAGGAUCUUAGUGGCGGACGGGUGAGUAACGCGUGGGUAACUUGCCCCAUACCGGGGGAUACCACCUGGAAACAGGUGCUAAUACCGCAUAAGCGCACGGGAGCGCAUGCUCCUGUGUGAAAAACUCCGGUGGUAUGGGAUGGACCCGCGUCUGAUUAGCCAGUUGGCAGGGUAACGGCCUACCAAAGCGACGAUCAGUAGCCGGCCUGAGAGGGUGGACGGCCACAUUGGGACUGAGACACGGCCCAAACUCCUACGGGAGGCAGCAGUGGGGAAUAUUGCACAAUGGGGGAAACCCUGAUGCAGCGACGCCGCGUGAGUGAAGAAGUAUUUCGGUAUGUAAAGCUCUAUCAGCAGGAACGAGACAAGACGGUACCUGACUAAGAAGCCCCGGCUAACUACGUGCCAGCAGCCGCGGUAAUACGUAGGGGGCAAGCGUUAUCCGGAAUCACUGGGUGUAAAGGGAGCGUAGACGGCUGUGCAAGCCUGAAGUGAAAGGCGGGGGCCCAACCCCCGGACUGCUUUGGGAACUGUACGGCUGGAGUGCAGGAGAGGUAAGUGGAAUUCCUAGUGUAGCGGUGAAAUGCGUAGAUAUUAGGAGGAACACCAGUGGCGAAGGCGGCUUACUGGACUGUAACUGACGUUGAGGCUCGAAAGCGUGGGGA
Molecule: ribosomal RNA, 709 nt
Filed under: uncultured bacterium
Lineage: Bacteria
Description: bacterial SSU rRNA
Rfam family: Bacterial small subunit ribosomal RNA
Source: RNAcentral